Molecule: ribosomal RNA, 406 nt
Filed under: uncultured bacterium
Lineage: Bacteria
Description: partial 16S ribosomal RNA
Rfam family: Bacterial small subunit ribosomal RNA
Source: RNAcentral
GAUGAACGCUAGCUACAGGCUUAACACAUGCAAGUCGAGGGACGGGCGCACGGGUGAGUAACAGGUAUCCAACCUGCCCUUUACUCGGGGAUAGCCUUUCGAAAGAAAGAUCAAUACCCGAUAUAAAGGAUGGGGAUGCGUUCCAUUAGGUGGUUGGUGAGGUAACGGCCCACCAAGCCUUCGAUGGAUAGGGGUUCUGAGAGGAAGGUCCCCCGCAUUGGAGCUGAGCCACGGUCCACGCUCCUACGGGAGGCAGCAGUGAGGAAUAUUGGUCACUGGGCGUUAGCCUUACCCAGCCAAGUAGCGUGAAGGAUGAUGGCUUAUGGGUCCUAUUCUUCUUUUAUAUAAGAAUAUGUAUUAUAUGAAUAAGGAUCGGCUAACUCCGUGCCAGCAGCCGCGGUAAUAC